Molecule: transfer RNA, 68 nt
Filed under: Odontobutis haifengensis
Lineage: Eukaryota; Metazoa; Chordata; Actinopteri; Gobiiformes; Odontobutidae
Description: tRNA-Glu
Rfam family: tRNA
About the family: Transfer RNA (tRNA) molecules are approximately 80 nucleotides in length. Their secondary structure includes four short double-helical elements and three loops (D, anti-codon, and T loops). Further hydrogen bonds mediate the characteristic L-shaped molecular structure. tRNAs have two regions of fundamental functional importance: the anti-codon, which is responsible for specific mRNA codon recognition, and the 3' end, to which the tRNAs corresponding amino acid is attached (by aminoacyl-tRNA synthetases). tRNAs cope with the degeneracy of the genetic code in two manners: having more than one tRNA (with a specific anti-codon) for a particular amino acid; and 'wobble' base-pairing, i.e. permitting non-standard base-pairing at the 3rd anti-codon position.
Source: RNAcentral
GUUCUUGUGGUUGAAUACAACGGUGGUUUUUCAAGUCAUUAGUCUUGGUUAAAGUCCAAGUAGGAAUU